This 320-nucleotide ribosomal RNA is filed under the name uncultured bacterium. RNAcentral describes it as "bacterial SSU rRNA". It matches the Rfam family "Bacterial small subunit ribosomal RNA", at positions 470 to 789 of the family's 1533-position model. The record is from RNAcentral.
UGACGGUAACUUACCAGAAAGGGACGGCUAACUACGUGCCAGCAGCCGCGGUAAUACGUAGGUCCCGAGCGUUGUCCGGAUUUACUGGGUGUAAAGGGAGCGCAGACGGCAAGGCAAGUCUGAAGUGAAAUUCCAUGGCUCAACCGUGGAACUGCUUUGGAAACUGUUUAGCUAGAGUAUCGGAGGGGUAAGCGGAAUUCCUAGUGUAGCGGUGAAAUGCGUAGAUAUUAGGAAGAACACCAGUGGCGAAGGCGGUUAGCUGGACAAUAACUGACGCUGAGGCGCGAAAGCGUGGGUAGCAAACAGGAUUAGAUACCCUG